This 64-nucleotide transfer RNA is filed under the name Calomicrus fallax. RNAcentral's name for it is "tRNA-Thr". Lineage: Eukaryota; Metazoa; Arthropoda; Insecta; Coleoptera; Chrysomelidae. The record is from RNAcentral.
GUUUUAAUAAUUUAAUAUAAAAUAUUGAUCUUGUAAAUCAAAAAUAAAUGAACUUUUUAAAACU